Molecule: long non-coding RNA, 2419 nt
Organism: Aedes aegypti (yellow fever mosquito)
Lineage: Eukaryota; Metazoa; Arthropoda; Insecta; Diptera; Culicidae
Exons: 3
Source: RefSeq, a predicted model, not a curated record
CAUCUAACUGACUUCCCAUCGCUUAACACCAACCAAAGUCGUGACUUUGCACCGACUAAAAGCGCGAUUUCAAAACAAACUACCCCAACAGCGAAAGCGGUGACAAGCGGACAUCCCCUCACCUGAUGGGAAAGAAGCAGCCACCGGUGUGGAGCGUCGACGUCGAAGGGGUUUUGUCGAGACACUCACAACACGCGUUCGCUCAUUCGCUCGCUAGCUUUGUGGACGUGAUUGAGUGUAUUCGGUUGUUCUUCACCGAUUGGUCACGUUAAAAAAUGAGUUUAUUGCCGCGAGCACGACUUGUGUACAAACAUUUCUCCGCACUGUGACGACGACAACGGCGACCAUUAUUAAUCGUCGUCAGCAGUGUUGGAUCGAAAUGGAUUUUGGACGGGUGAUGGAUGACUCCUUCCACUCUCCAUUUCAAAAUUUCAUCGAAGGGCAUACGAUCCCAAAUCCAGUCAAUCCAAUAGGAAUCAAUCAGAGUACCUGUUGGAUUUUGGAUGGAAACCACAGCCAGCCGAUCAAUUCAUGCAUUACGCAAAACUAGUUGGAAUAGUGGCAAACUAGUUUGGUUUGCUUUUGUCGGCAAAGAUGGAGACCUGAGCUCGGGCGAAAUCAACAGCACCACAACAAACGAGGGCACUCACAUCUGAUUGGAACCAAGCAGUACAAGUACAUCUACACACGUUGCAGUGACGAUUUCUCCUCCGUCAUUUCUCUUCGUCAGGGUUGCCGGCGUCAUUGUUGUGCAGUUGGGUGAAUUGUUGCCAGCAAUGGUGGUCGAAGAUCGAAAAAAAUAUUUGAUGUUAUACGUUUACUACAAACUCUUUCCAGCGAAACAUGGAGACACACGAAAAAGCAUUAAUUAUUUGAUGUAGUCAGAGAUUUUCUUUAUUUCUGUUGCAGAGUUUGUAGAUCACAUUGCCAGUAUCCACAAGCUGUCAUUAUACUACCGCUAGAAGUGUUUUUUUUUAUUGUAUGCUUGUAGAUUUUCACAUCUUUCACAAAUAUACUGAAGAAACAUGUUAACAAAUCUUACAUUAUAUAAAAAAGUUAAAAUUUGUUAACUAAAGAAAAAACUUACAUAGAACACAAGCUUGAACCUUUAUAAGGCAGGUAACCCUCAAAGUCCCGAACAGACUUUUUGUUUUCAAUCGACGAUUGCUCAGAAACGAGUAAGUUUAAUGAAAUGGGAUCAUUUCGAUCGAUGAGAUGAGUUAGACAUCCUGCAAGUGGGAUUUUCAAACAGGAAGAUGUGUUCAACCGGAAAUAAGUAUUUUCUUGACACAUCUUUCACAUAUUUAGCUACGAACCCGAUAUUCAAAAAUAGGUUUUAGCCAUUUUUAGAAUACAUCAAUUGGUUUAUUAUCUUGCAUGGGGUGAACACUGGAACCUGGUUCUAGAAAUACCUUCUGGAUAGGAGCCGAGGUCAAGGAAUAUAUGUAAAUUUGAUCUGAACCAACAUAUGCGGCUAUUUGAACACCAUGCAAUCAUCUCAGAAAGCCAAUGCUGGGUUGUAAGGUCACUCCCGGUGAAUCAGGAAGCAAUCAUGAGUGAAGCUCAAAACUGGAAAUGCGACUGCUCAAACAUAAUGAAAUAACCUAAACGUUGUGGUAAGAUUGAUAGGUAUUGUUGUGGAGGGUCAAAUCUACGUUUACUGCUUGGCCUCGGCUUCUACACGCAAAGUACUUUUGGAACCAGGCUCACUUCCUCUGGCUUAUAUAUAUUAGUGAACGAAAUAUCAGAACUAUAGCGGCAUCGCCGAUAUAUUGAGUAAGAAAUUUUGAAUAUCGAGAGCAAAAUGUCGUUUUUUUCCAAUUAAUAGAAAAAUCGGAACAUCCCUAAUCUAUUAUAUACACACUUUUUUCACCGAAAUGUAGUUGAUAAAGUUUAGAUGUAAUAAUUUUAGUACAUAUUUUAAUAAUUCGGAAAGAUUUAAGAUAACUUAAGGAAAUUCAAUUGUUACACCAUAGUUAUUAUUGCACAUCAACGUUGUAGAUUGCACGGGUAUUAACUGGUAAAGUGACAGAUCGUUAUACCGAUUGGAACACUCAAUCUGAUAUAGAGACAAUACGGCGAGGCAUUGUUGGCAACAACAUUCUCGAUAUUUGUUAAGUAAUUCAUUUGAAAAUGCAAAUGUUCCAGGUUUCAUUUUUUGUAAACAAGUACUGAUUUCUACCGAUUGACUCCAAACAUGUUUGAAAAAAAUAUUCAAUUGACUUUUUUAUUCUGUUGAUAUAGGGUAACACUGACCACCCAGGUAAACAUCGUUCGGGCAUAUAAAAAAUGUCGUUACUUAAAUUAUGGCCCUGAUGCCGAAUAUAAAUGUCAAACUUUUACAAGAUAUACAGUGUUUCAGUUACCGUAAUUCGGGGUGUAGUUGAUCAGUGGGGAGAAGUUGAUCAUUCCCGUACCC